Molecule: ribosomal RNA, 450 nt
Filed under: uncultured bacterium
Lineage: Bacteria
Description: bacterial SSU rRNA
Rfam family: Bacterial small subunit ribosomal RNA
Source: RNAcentral
UGGGGAAUUUUUCGCAAUGGGGGAAACCCUGACGAAGCAACGCCGCGUGGAGGAUGAAGGCCUUCGGGUCGUAAACUCCUGUCGACCGGGACGAACGUAGUCGGGUCCAAUACACCAGGCUAUCGACUGUACCGGUGGAGGAAGCCACGGCUAACUCUGUGCCAGCAGCCGCGGUAAUACAGAGGUGGCAAGCGUUGUUCGGAAUUACUGGGCGUAAAGGGCGCGUAGGCGGUUCGUUAAGUCCUGUGUGAAAUCCCCCGGCUCAACUGGGGAACGGCACAGGAAACUAGCGGGCUUGAGUUCGGGAGAGGGAAGCGGAAUUCCGGGUGUAGCGGUGAAAUGCGUAGAUAUCCGGAGGAACACCGGUGGCGAAGGCGGCUUCCUGGACCGACACUGACGCUGAGGCGCGAAAGCUAGGGGAGCAAACGGGAUUAGAUACCCCCGUAGUCC